CCUCUAUGUAUCCAGUUGACGUCUCUCACGCUCCCCGCCCCGCGCGGCGGCUAUUUAAGUUGUUGCAGUUAAAAAGCUCGUAGUUGGAUUUCGGGUGGGUUUCAGCGGUCCGCCUAUGGUGAGUACUGCUGUGGCCUUCCUUACUGUCGGGGACCUGCUUCUGGGCUUCAUUGUCCGGGACAGGGAUUCGGCAUGGUUACUUUGAGUAAAUUGGAGUGUUCAAAGCAGGCUUACGCCGUGAAUAUUUUAGCAUGGAAUAACAUGAUAGGACUCUGCCCUAUUCUGUUGGCCUGUAGGAGUGGAGUAAUGAUUAAGAGGAACAGUCGGGGGCAUUCGUAUUUCAUUGUCAGAGGUGAAAUUCUUGGAUUUAUGAAAGACGAACUACUGCGAAAGCAUUUGCCAAGGAUGUUUUCAUUAAUCAAGAACGAAAGUUGGGGGCUCGAAGACGAUCACAUACCGGCGUAGGCGAGGCG
Molecule: ribosomal RNA, 473 nt
Filed under: uncultured alga
Lineage: Eukaryota
Description: SSU rRNA
Rfam family: Eukaryotic small subunit ribosomal RNA (bases 57-473)
Source: RNAcentral